Molecule: ribosomal RNA, 432 nt
Filed under: uncultured Acetobacteraceae bacterium
Lineage: Bacteria; Pseudomonadati; Pseudomonadota; Alphaproteobacteria; Acetobacterales; Acetobacteraceae
Description: bacterial SSU rRNA
Rfam family: Bacterial small subunit ribosomal RNA
Source: RNAcentral
CGGGUUGCAGCAGUGGGGAAUAUUGGACAAUGGGCGCAAGCCUGAUCCAGCAAUUCCGCGUGGGUGAAGAAGGUCUUCGGAUUGUAAAGCCCUUUCGACGGGGACGAUGAUGACGGUACCCGUAGAAGAAGCCCCGGCUAACUUCGUGCCAGCAGCCGCGGUAAUACGAAGGGGGCUAGCGUUGCUCGGAAUUACUGGGCGUAAAGGGCGCGUAGGCGGCUUAGUUAGUCAGGCGUGAAAUUCCUGGGCUCAACCUGGGGACUGCGCUUGAUACGGCUAGGCUAGAGGAUGGAAGAGGGUCGCGGAAUUCCCAGUGUAGAGGUGAAAUUCGUAGAUAUUGGGAAGAACACCGGUGGCGAAGGCGGCGACCUGGUCCAUUACUGACGCUGAGGCGCGACAGCGUGGGGAGCAAACAGGAUUAGAUACCCGCGU